GACGAACGCUGGCGGCAUGCUUAACACAUGCAAGUCGAACGAAACGGCCCUGCUUUUGUGGGCUGCGCGGGUGACGAACGGGUAAGUAACCCGUGAGUUCCCUGUCCUUGCCUGUGGGAUGACUUCAGGCCACUGGAGCUAAUACCAGAUAGGAUCUCCUGCUUCUUGGUGGGGGUUGGAAAGUUUCGGCGGUUGGGGAUGGAAUGGCGGCUUAUCAGCUUGUUGGGUGGGUAGUGGCUUACCAAGGCUUUGCCGGGUGGCCGGCCUGGUAGGAUGACCGGACAAAUUGGGAUGGAGAUACGGCCCAGACUACUACGGGAGGGAGCAGUGGGGAGUAGUGCACAAGGGGCGGAAGCCUGAUGCAGCAACGCAACGUGCGGGAUGACGUCAUUCGGGUUGUAUAGCGAUUCUGCUUGUGACGAGGCGAGAGUGACGGUAAUGGGUAAAGAAGCUCCGGCUAACUACGUG
This 468-nucleotide ribosomal RNA is filed under the name uncultured bacterium. RNAcentral's name for it is "partial 16S ribosomal RNA". It matches the Rfam family "Bacterial small subunit ribosomal RNA", at positions 28 to 507 of the family's 1533-position model. The record is from RNAcentral.